UCCUACGGGGGGCAGCAGUGGGGAAUUUUGGACAAUGGGCGCAAGCCUGAUCCAGCUAUUCCGCGUGUGGGAUGAAGGCCCUCGGGUUGUAAACCACUUUUGUAGAGAACGAAAAGACACCUUCGAAUAAAGGGUGUUGCUGACGGUACUCUAAGAAUAAGCACCGGCUAACUACGUGCCAGCAGCCGCGGUAAUACGUAGGGGGCAAGCGUUAUCCGGAUUCACUGGGCGUAAAGGGAGCGCAGGCGGCACGGCAAGCCUGGUGUGAAAACCCGGGGCCCAAC
RNAcentral lists this ribosomal RNA (284 nucleotides) under uncultured bacterium. RNAcentral's name for it is "partial 16S ribosomal RNA". It matches the Rfam family "Bacterial small subunit ribosomal RNA", at positions 337 to 613 of the family's 1533-position model. The record is from RNAcentral.